UACAGAGGGUGCAAGCGUUGUUCGGAAUUACUGGGCGUAAAGCGUGCGUAGUCGGUAUUGAGAGUCACGGGUGAAAUCCCAGGGCUUAACCCUGGAACUGCCUGUGAGACCUCAGUACUAGAGUGUGAGAGGGGAUAGUGGAAUACCCAGUGUAGCGGUGAAAUGCGUAGAGAUUGGGUGGAACACCGGUGGCGAAAGCGGCUAUCUGGCUCACAACUGACGAUCAGGCACGAAAGCGUGGGGAGCAAACAGG
Molecule: ribosomal RNA, 253 nt
Filed under: uncultured bacterium
Lineage: Bacteria
Description: partial 16S ribosomal RNA
Rfam family: Bacterial small subunit ribosomal RNA
Source: RNAcentral